Molecule: ribosomal RNA, 460 nt
Filed under: uncultured bacterium
Lineage: Bacteria
Description: partial 16S ribosomal RNA
Rfam family: Bacterial small subunit ribosomal RNA
Source: RNAcentral
CCUACGGGUGGCAGCAGUGAGGAAUAUUGGUCAAUGGACGAGAGUCUGAACCAGCCAAGUAGCGUGAAGGAUGACUGCCCUAUGGGUUGUAAACUUCUUUUAUAUGGGAAUAAAACGUUCCACGUGUGGGAUUUUGUAUGUACCAUAUGAAUAAGGAUCGGCUAACUCCGUGCCAGCAGCCGCGGUAAUACGGAGGAUCCGAGCGUUAACCGGAUUUAUUGGGUUUAAAGGGAGCGUAGGUGGAUUGUUAAGUCAGUUGUGAAAGUUUGCGGCUCAACCGUAAAAUUGCAGUUGAAACUGGCAGUCUUGAGUACAGUAGAGGUAGGCGGAAUGCGUGGUGUAGCGGUGAAAUGCUUAGAUAUCACGAAGAACUCCGAUUGCGAAGGCAGUUCACUGGACUGCAACUGACACUGAGGCUCGAAAGUGUGGGUAUCAAACAGGAUUAGAUACCCCUGUAGUC